CCGAGUUUACAACUCCCAAACCCAAUGCGAACAUACCUCAAGUUGCUUCGGCGGGAACGCCCCGGCGCGCCCUCCGACCCUCCCGCCCGCGGGGGGAUCGGGGAGCCUAGCCCGGACCCAGGCGCCCGCCGGAGGUACCCAACUCUUGCCUUCAGUAUAUUCUUCUGAGUGGCAAACGCAAAAAUAAAUCA
RNAcentral lists this unclassified non-coding RNA (191 nucleotides) under soil metagenome. RNAcentral describes it as "partial internal transcribed spacer 1". The record is from RNAcentral.